RNAcentral lists this long non-coding RNA (617 nucleotides) under Homo sapiens (human). RNAcentral's name for it is "HSALNT0170066". The record is from RNAcentral. Lineage: Eukaryota; Metazoa; Chordata; Mammalia; Primates; Hominidae.
CCUCCCCGUGGCCUGAAGACACAGUUUUCCUAAUAGAGCGUUUCAUAGCAGCAAAGCGGUUGUCGAUAAACCCUUCAGGUCGAGCAGAGCCCGUGAGUCAAAGGAAAUCCGUGCUAGUCAUUGAGCACUGAAUGACUUGUUUCAAACUCAAGUACAAGCCUGGCUGGGAGAGAAGAUUAUUAUUACUGUUAUUAAGUCUUCCUGUACCUCCUAUUGAACAUCUUAUUAGCAAUGUGUGUAAGCAUCUGCUCCUGGACCCAACUUCGAUACUACACUGUUGACUCCAAUUUUAUAAAUGUGUAAGAGGAUCCAAAAAGGACCUGGCCAGCAUUUUUCAGCAGAAGGUGAAUGACAAUGGGAUUGACAAAAGAGAUGAAGAAGUCAGGGAGCAUUGAAGAUUGGAAGGGGACAAAGUGCUGGAGUCACAGGGCAGAGCCCAGUGAAAAGACAAAUAAAAUGGGGGACCUUAAAAAGAUUUUGAUUGAAUUUGAGAAAUCAGGCCAAGUGGGAGAAGAGACUCAACCACAUUAUGUUCAAGGGAAGGAGGAAAAAGAAUGAAGAGAAUUUGUCACUUCCAAAGAUGGCAGUGACAUUGGGAAGGAGAUUAAACGGUGUGA